Molecule: non-coding RNA, 29 nt
Filed under: Rattus norvegicus (Norway rat)
Lineage: Eukaryota; Metazoa; Chordata; Mammalia; Rodentia; Muridae
Source: RNAcentral
UAUCACAGGAAUGCCACUGUUGUAGAACC